CAAAGAAGAAUCAAAUAACAUUCAUGGAUAAAAACAUAGAUUUGAUCAUAAACUAAAAGUUCAUCGGAUCCCAACAAACACACCGCAAAAGGACUUACAUCAUAUGGAUCUCCAAGAGACCAUUGUACUGAUAAUCAAGAGAGAGAGGAAGGCAUCUAGCUACUAACUACGGACCCAUAGGUCUACAAAGAACUACUCACACAUCAUCGGAGAGGCACCAAUGGACAUGAUGAACCCCUUCGUGAUGGUGUCUCGAUUGGAUCUGGUGUUUUUGGACUCUGCGGUGGCUGGAAUUGAUUUUCGUCCCCCUCCUCAGGGUUUCUGGAAUAUAGGGGUAUUUAUAGAGCAAAGAGGCGGUGCGGGAGGCCAACGAGGAGGUCACAAUCCACCCGGGUGCUCCUGGACCCCCAGGCGCGCCCUCGUGGGUUGUGCACCGAUCGGAGCUCCCCUCAGGUGCGUUCCUGGCCCACUGGAUGACUUCUGGCCAAAAAAAUCCACAAAAAGUUUCGCUGCGUUUGGACUCCUUUGGUAUUGAUUUCCCGCGAUGUCAAAAACAUGCAGAAAAAAACAACUGGUACUAGGCA
RNAcentral lists this long non-coding RNA (584 nucleotides) under Hordeum vulgare. RNAcentral's name for it is "long non-coding RNA (HVUL_LNC010099)". The record is from RNAcentral. Lineage: Eukaryota; Viridiplantae; Streptophyta; Magnoliopsida; Poales; Poaceae.